Ruditapes philippinarum (Manila clam) is the source of this 484-nucleotide long non-coding RNA. RefSeq lists it as uncharacterized. The record is from RefSeq and is a predicted model, not a curated record. The transcript is spliced from 4 exons. Lineage: Eukaryota; Metazoa; Mollusca; Bivalvia; Venerida; Veneridae.
GUCGUCAACCUACAAGCAUCAUGAAAAUCUCAGCUCUUGCCUUUUUCGCCCUUGUCGGAGUUAUCGGUGUUUGCCCUCGGUGCCGGGUACGGAUACGGCGGUUAUUCUGGCGGGUACACCUACAUGCCAGUAUCUGGUUACGGUCAGCAAGGGCCGGCGGAUUAGGAGAUGGUUCUUUCUUGAUGCUGAUCGGAUUCUUGUUCCUGAUCCUAAUCUUGUUCAACAGCAACCUGUUUAACACCACCUCAACAGCUACGACCACACCCAUCACCAUCCUCCAGGGUUAAAUAUGAUUUAGAGAAAGGCCAACUACAGAUAUUUACACCUUUGUUGGAUCCUAUAUCUUGUACAUGGAGAAAUUACUCAUUCUGUAAUUUGAUUGGUCAAAAAGUCAUGUAUUCUGUGAUAUCUAAAUUAUUAUUGCACUCAACAGAUAUGUUUUAUAUCAAAAACAUAAAAAUAAUAAUAAACUUAUGAAAUAUAA